ACUUGUUUUGAGCCUGCGAUAGAAGGGGACAACACGUGCCUUGGGAAAAAACUCAUGUUCCACCCAGAUAGUUUUUCACAACAUUUCCUCUUUGCACCGGUGUCGAGACCAACUUAGUUGUGAGAAAGUCUGUAUCUUUAGAGGAGAUAGCAAUAUGACUGUAUCAUUUAUUGAUAUUCUCCUAAUUAGUGAUUAACUGACGGUUUUUAGCAGGAUUGGGCUAAAUGCUCAAAUAAAAACCUGAGGUGAAGAACUAUCAUUCCCUGCAGUAGAAGUCCAUGUGAGAGGAGAGAGCUGUAUGAUACUAGGAGGACAAGACAACAAUAAUCUCAAGGGACUCACAGCAGUUGGGCUUUUCUCCUCUCUAGAGCACCAACUGAAACAGACAGAAUGAACAGAGCACGAGGACGGUGUUUCACUUUACUACUACUACUGGGGUGUGUACAUGGGAGCAAGUCUCCUCAAAGGGAGGUGGUAUUCAGUAGAGGGAUCCAACUCUUUGUUGAAGGUUUGAACCCUUCUAAUCCCUCUGUGCUAAUCCUCUCCUCAUUUGGGCGCAACCCUGGUGCCUCACCUACACUGGUGUGUGUACUCAGUGGUUUAAAAACACGUCAUUUGGUGGACAUCAUUUGGUGGAUCAACGACACAGUGGUAACCCCUGAGAACAAUGCUAUUUGGAGUUCCAGGGGAAGCGAUGGCACGUACACAACUACCGGACUGUGGACUAUGUCUGGAAAGGACUGGAAUCCCUAUAGUAACUAUGAGUGUGGAACCAGACAUGAAGGAAAGCAUUAUAGAAAUGGUACACAGCCCUCGCUUUGCAUGGAUUUUACUUGAUUACAAAUAUUUGUUAACCUAUCAAAAAGUAUCUGUACUUUACAGCCUCCUUAGCAGUUCAUGUACAAUCUUUACUAUUAUUAAAGUAUUAAUGUCAUGAUGUUUCUUGAGUAUUUUAGUGAAAGAUUAUCUUUCUGGUUGCCAUUACCAUAUGUUGACACUAGAGGACGCUCACUGCCUGCAGUUGGAGGGGUUGUAGUGUUUGUGUUGAGUGAUGGUAAAGUUCAUAUGCAUGGCAUCUCUGUUUCACAUACUCACUGAUUUCAACUGAGACAAUGUUGCUCUUGUUCCUGGAUGUAUCUCUCAACAACAAGCUGUUAUAGAAAUGGUAUAAAAAAGCUGCACUUCUUAAUCAUACCGUAUGCACAAAGCUGAAUACUCUUUAGUUUAUGUUCCAAACAACAAUUGUGUUUCUGUCAGCCCUCCUCUAAACAUAUUUUUGCAUCAUUUAUAAGUUCAUAAUAUCAUCAAUAAAAUAUAAAAAGAAUGAACUAAUCUGCAUUGUACUUUCACAU
Molecule: long non-coding RNA, 1352 nt
Organism: Salvelinus fontinalis (brook trout)
Lineage: Eukaryota; Metazoa; Chordata; Actinopteri; Salmoniformes; Salmonidae
Exons: 3
Source: RefSeq, a predicted model, not a curated record